Molecule: long non-coding RNA, 1781 nt
Organism: Helianthus annuus (common sunflower)
Lineage: Eukaryota; Viridiplantae; Streptophyta; Magnoliopsida; Asterales; Asteraceae
Exons: 2
Source: RefSeq, a predicted model, not a curated record
UGGGCGCAUGUGUGUGUGUACGAGCAGAGGAGAAGAAAGGAAAGGGGAGCCCUUCUCAAACCCUAAGCAACAAAUUGGAAGGAUUCUGGCCGAAAUCGAACCUGCAUGAACCUUAAUAGUGAUAAUCUAAGCAAGAUGUAACCAAGGAACGUGUCAAGGAGAGCUCAAGCACAGGAGGAUAACGGGUCAAGAUAAGGCAAGGUGACAAAUACACUUAUUGGAGUACUCAAGGUAAGUGAUCUCCGUAGUCACUUCUUAGUUGUUUAAGUAAUACAACGCUUUAUUUAAUUAGACAUAAUGUUUGAUGUCAAUUAUACGUUGAAGUCUUUCAUUGUGCAUAAUGGGAAUAAAGUUGAUUAAAACGCCCUUGAUGGGUAUGUUGGGCGAACAAUCUUAAAGUAGAUUAUAAGGAAGCUAUUCGAUUAGUGUAAUGGUUAUGGUCUAGUGUGAUAAUGUGGAGUAUGGUCUUGUAUGUCAUAAACCACUUAAUGCGUAAAUAACUAUAACGGGUCGAAAAUAAGCAUUUGAGCGAAAAUGGGUUAAGAGGAUGCAAGACAUCCGAGAAUUUAAUCUUUUAUGAUAGACGUCAACGAAAUUAUUAAGUUCAUAUGAGAUUGAGGUCAAAUAAUCGGAUUAUGAUGAUAUACGCUCGAACGGGUCAAAUAGUUAGAAAAUGAUUAUAAGUCGAAUGCAUGUAAGUUAAGAAUUUCCUUAAUCCGGAUGUAGGAUUUUAAGUUCAUAUGAAAGAAUGUGAAUUUACAAGCAUGUAGGAAGAAACGGGAGGUUAAACGGGUAAACGGUUUAAAAGUUAUGCGAGUUUUAGUGCGUUCGAACGACGAAAACAACACAGCAGAAAAAUGGCAAAAGCAGAGGCCGUCGCCGACGCCCCUAUGGGCCGUCGCCGACGCCUCGUGCUUUUUCAGUUUGCUCCGACGCCCUAUUUUCCUGUCUACGGGGUUUCUAAGCUACGGGGAAAAACUAAAAGCCGUCGCCGACGCCCUGUAGGGUUUCUAAGCUACGGGGAAAAACUAAAAGCCGUCGCCGACGGCCUCCCCAUGUUUAGGAUGCUGAAAUUUGUUAACUAAGUUGUUUAAUGUAUCGUAAGCUUUGGUAUAUCAACCUUGGUCUAUGGUAAGCCUUCUAAACCAAAUUUUGGGUGUUCUCUUGAUGUUUUUGGGUUCUAAACCCAAGAAUAAGCACCGUAUAAAUAAUGUACGAAUAUGAUAAGUGAAUACGAACAAGUUAAACAAGAAUUGGAUGUAAGUAAAAUAUGCGUAGGCACGAAUAUGUAAGUACGUAUGCAGGUAUGCUUGGUUUCAAUAUGUUUGGGUAAGGAUCUCACUAACAAUGUGCUUGAGAUUGGUAGGUAAUGCAGGAAUGAGAACGACGGAUUCUCGUGGAAUGGAAGCUGAACUCGGAACAAGAGAAUCCGAGAGAAUAGUCGGAUAAAUCAAAGUUUACGUUGUCGAAUGUUAUACUAUUUAAUUAUAUGUGAAUUUAGUUGUACGAUGAUGUCAAUGACUAAUGGUUAAGUUGUAUGUGAUGCUCACAUGUACUACUCGGACUUCUUCUACCUUUAAGGAUGAUAAGCGGGCGUGGAUCGAGUCGAAGAGCAAGGAUUGUACGGAAAGAACGGCUACAUAGUUUGAAAUACGUAAUGCUUUGAAGCGUUAAUUUAAUGUAAAUAUUGUAAACCUCUUCCAGUAAAUGCUUAACAUUUUCGUAUUUGAGCUUUUAUGUAAGUAAUGUGUCUAAUAAAGAAAGAAAUUUCAAGGCUCGUA